UACAGAGGGUGCAAGCGUUAAUCGGAAUUACUGGGCGUAAAGCGUGCGCAGGCGGUUUUGUAAGCCAGAUGUGAAAUCCCCGGGCUUAACCUGGGAAUGGCAUUUGGGACUGCAAGGCUCGAGUGCGGCAGAGGAGACUGGAAUUCCUGGUGUAGCAGUGAAAUGCGUAGAUAUCAGGAGGAACACCGAUGGCGAAGGCAGGUCUCUGGGCUGACACUGACGCUCAUGCACGAAAGCGUGGGGAGCAAACAGG
This 253-nucleotide ribosomal RNA is filed under the name uncultured bacterium. Its description in RNAcentral is "partial 16S ribosomal RNA". It matches the Rfam family "Bacterial small subunit ribosomal RNA", at positions 524 to 776 of the family's 1533-position model. The record is from RNAcentral.